CCCUUCUUGCCCACAGGCGAGUAAAAUGAGAACAUCAUCAACCACAAGGAUCAUCUCCGACUUUAGUCUGAUGCCUUUGCUCGUCCAGAGGUGAGUUGAGAGAGAGCAUCAUCGACGACAAAGGUCAUCUUCGAUCUAAGUCCAAUGCACCCCCCUCGUCAGUAGGCGAGCUAAGGGAGGGCAUCACCGAAAUGAAAUAAUGUCAUCC
Molecule: long non-coding RNA, 208 nt
Filed under: Elaeis guineensis (African oil palm)
Lineage: Eukaryota; Viridiplantae; Streptophyta; Magnoliopsida; Arecales; Arecaceae
Description: long non-coding RNA (EGUI_LNC013029)
Source: RNAcentral